Molecule: ribosomal RNA, 253 nt
Filed under: uncultured bacterium
Lineage: Bacteria
Description: partial 16S ribosomal RNA
Rfam family: Bacterial small subunit ribosomal RNA
Source: RNAcentral
UACGUAGGGUGCGAGCGUUGUCCGGAAUUAUUGGGCGUAAAGAGCUCGUAGGCGGUCUGUCGCGUCUGCUGUGAAAACUCAGGGCUUAACCCUGAGCUUGCAGUGGGUACGGGCAGACUAGAGUGCGGUAGGGGAGACUGGAAUUCCUGGUGUAGCGGUGAAAUGCGCAGAUAUCAGGAGGAACACCGGUGGCGAAGGCGGGUCUCUGGGCCGAUACUGACGCUGAGGAGCGAAAGCGUGGGGAGCGAACAGG